UCGGGAAUUUUGGGCAAUGGGCGAAAGCCUGACCCAGCAACGCCGCGUGAAGGAUGAAGUAUUUCGAUAUGUAAACUUCGUAAGAAUAGGAAGAAUAAAUGACGGUACUAUUUGUAAGGUCCGGCUAACUACGUGCCAGCAGCCGCGGUAAUACGUAGGGACCAAGCGUUGUUCGGAUUUACUGGGCGUAAAGGGCGCGUAGGCGGUGUGUCAAGUCAGUUGUGAAAUCUCCGAGCUUAACUCGGAACGGUCAACUGAUACUGUCACACUAGAGUACAGAAGGGGCAAUCGGAAUUCUUGGUGUAGCGGUGAAAUGCGUAGAUAUCAAGAGGAACACCGGUGGCGAAGGCGGCCCACUGGUCCGGUACUGACGCUGAGGUGCGAAAGCGUGGGGAGCAAACAGGAUUAGAUACCCCGGUAGUCCCUGAGCGGGCUGGCAAGGCGCAU
RNAcentral lists this ribosomal RNA (447 nucleotides) under uncultured bacterium. RNAcentral's name for it is "bacterial SSU rRNA". It matches the Rfam family "Bacterial small subunit ribosomal RNA", at positions 355 to 825 of the family's 1533-position model. The record is from RNAcentral.